Molecule: ribosomal RNA, 254 nt
Filed under: uncultured bacterium
Lineage: Bacteria
Description: partial 16S ribosomal RNA
Rfam family: Bacterial small subunit ribosomal RNA
Source: RNAcentral
UACGUAGGCAGCGAGCGUUUGUUCGGAAUUACUGGGCGUAAAGAGUGUGUAGGCGGUGUUCCCAGUCUGUUGUGAAAUCUCCCGGCUUAACUGGGAGGGUGCAGCGGAAACUAGAAUGCUAGAGGGUGGGAGAGGUAAGCGGAAUUCCUGGUGUAGCGGUGAAAUGCGUAGAUAUCAGGAGGAACACCUGUGGUGUAGACAGCUUACUGGACCACUUCUGACGCUGAGACACGAAAGCGUGGGUAGCAAACAGG